RNAcentral lists this long non-coding RNA (503 nucleotides) under Heterocephalus glaber (naked mole-rat). RNAcentral describes it as "lncRNA (ENSHGLG00000046509.1)". The record is from RNAcentral. Lineage: Eukaryota; Metazoa; Chordata; Mammalia; Rodentia; Bathyergidae.
GAAGGAUACAACAGAGGGAGUUACACAUGGAUGACAACAGUUAUCUCUUAAUGGUGAUCACCUCUGGGAACAAGGUCUCCAUUUAGUCAUUUUUCUCUCCUCUCUUCUGGCUACAGGGCUCUGCUGACCUUCAGCUGCCACAUGUCACAGGAAAGGCUCCUACAGGAAGGAAAAUGAGUCCUCCCAUCGUCACAUAAAUUCUCAUGGGGCUUCCCUCUUCAAGUUUAUGACAGUCAGGAGUUGAGCCUGGAGCUCUGAGAGAAACAGCCACACACUGAUUUAUGAUGGCAGCUGCUGCUAAAUUUCACCCCUCUUUCCUUCUUACAGAGCCAUGUUACCUUGGGGUUACAAAAUUCUUUUCACUGUUAUUCAGGGGAAUAAUAAUAAAGUGCCAGGUUGCAAGUAUAAACAUGAUCAUUCUGUGCCCAUUAUUGUAAAUCAAAUUUUACCUUGCAUCAGAAGCACAAAAAAUAUCUUACACUGUCAGCAACCUCAAGCCUGGG